This 76-nucleotide transfer RNA is filed under the name Candidatus Cloacimonadota bacterium. RNAcentral describes it as "tRNA-Ala". It matches the Rfam family "tRNA". Rfam says of the family: Transfer RNA (tRNA) molecules are approximately 80 nucleotides in length. The record is from RNAcentral. Lineage: Bacteria; Pseudomonadati; Candidatus Cloacimonadota.
GGGGCAUUAGCUCAGCUGGGAGAGCGCAUGACUGGCAGUCAUGAGGUCAGCGGUUCGAGCCCGCUAUGCUCCACCA